This 404-nucleotide ribosomal RNA is filed under the name uncultured bacterium. RNAcentral describes it as "partial 16S ribosomal RNA". It matches the Rfam family "Bacterial small subunit ribosomal RNA", at positions 30 to 526 of the family's 1533-position model. The record is from RNAcentral.
AUUGAACGCUGGCGGCAGGCCUAACACAUGCAAGUCGAGCGAGCGGCGGACGGGUGAGUAAUGCCUGGGAAUUGCCCAGUCGAGGGGGAUAACAGUUGGAAACGACUGCUAAUACCGCAUACGAUUGGUUUGCCCAGGUGGGAUUCGCUAGUUGGUGAGGUAAUGGCUCACCAAGGCGACGAUCCUUAGCUGGUCUGAGAGGAUGAUCGACCACGCUGGAACUGAUACACGGUGCAGACUCCGACGGUAGGCAGCAGUGGGGAAUAUUGCACAAUGGGGGAAACCCUGAUGCAGCCAUGCCGCUUGUGUGAAUAAGGCCUUCGGGUUGGAAAGCACUUUCAGCGAGGAGGCGUUACUCGCAGAAGAAGCACCGGCUAACUCCGUGCCAGCAGCCGCGGUAAUAC